RNAcentral lists this ribosomal RNA (253 nucleotides) under uncultured bacterium. Its description in RNAcentral is "partial 16S ribosomal RNA". It matches the Rfam family "Bacterial small subunit ribosomal RNA", at positions 524 to 776 of the family's 1533-position model. The record is from RNAcentral.
UACGUAGGGGGCAAGCGUUGUCCGGAUUUAUUGGGCGUAAAGAGCGUGUAGGCGGCUUUGCAAGUCCGUUGUGAAAACUCGAGGCUCAACCUCGAGACGCCGGUGGAAACUGCAAAGCUAGAGUCCGGAAGAGGAGAGUGGAAUUCCUGGUGUAGCGGUGAAAUGCGCAGAUAUCUGGAGGAACACCGGUGGCGAAGGCGGCAUCCUGGACCAACACUGACACUGAGGAGCGAAAGCCAGGGGAGCAAACGGG